Molecule: long non-coding RNA, 1948 nt
Organism: Onychostoma macrolepis
Lineage: Eukaryota; Metazoa; Chordata; Actinopteri; Cypriniformes; Cyprinidae
Exons: 2
Source: RefSeq, a predicted model, not a curated record
CCUUAACCCACCCUUAAACCUACCCACACCACCAAACCUGACCCUAAAAAUACCCAUAUAACACCUCAAUAGCAGUAAAAGUGUUUUGCAAUACAAUAAGUACAUAGCACUUAAUUUUUGAUGUAAGUACAUAGUAGUUAAGGCCACCUAAUAUAAAGUGUUACCAAAUAUUGCACUAGUUUUACUUUAAUUGUUUGAUGGCCAAACUAAAUCCUUUAUUUUUAUUUAUUUAUGCUAUACAAACAUCACAGUAUACAUCCACUGAAAUACAAAUGUUGUGUCAUGCAUUUUUUUUUUCUGCGAACAGCUGGAAAGAGUCAGGUGCGGAGGAGAGGAAGGUGAUCGCUCGCACCUGCCGCUCGUUACUGUGCAGACGCUGCAAGCUCAAAAGCUGUUCAACAUACCUACCACACUGAAGCUUGACUUCCAGAGUGCUGUACCUCUCGCCUGCCUUGUGUUGUUCUAGUGGUUUUGUCAGAGAUUGAUACUGUGUAACUUACUCAAGCUAUGGCUUAUUUUAGCCUUCUAAAUAAGUAAUUAGCGUUGUUGUUGCACUAUGCGUCUCUCUGUGUUGGAAGCCGUAGGGAGGUGGGUGCCAUUUUAUUUCUGUGAAUCUUUUUCUCUUGUUUUUGCUUAGAGAGUUAGUGUACAUUUUCUGUUGUUAAUUUUAUUUUGUUUUGUCAGUUUAGACAGUUUUACUCCCUAACUAGUCAGAGGGUCCUUUUGUUUGUUGUUUUGGCCUUUCCCCCUCCUGAAGUCUAUUUUGCUUCCUAUUUUAUUUUGUCAUUUGGAAAUUCUGUAAAUAAAACACUUGAAUUUGACUAAAACUUUUGAAUUUGACGUGUCUGUUCUGCUUGGCAUGGUACUGGUACUCACUCACCCCAACCAGUUUUGUUUUCUUUUCUCUGUUACUCCCUUACCCUAGACCCUUACAUCUGGGACAUAACAAAGUUGCUGGUGUGAGAUUGGCGAAUAAGCUUUCAUAAGGUAAGCUGACUUGUGAAUUAUUAACUCAUUUCACUAGAUGUCCAAUUUUGUUGUUCAGUAAUCAUCAUGUUUCCUUUAAUAACAGAAUGGUUAAAAAUACCCAGGCCUAUAAUAAAAUACCAGUAUAAAACUAUACAAAGAAUAUUAUCUUUCUAAAUCACUCCUAAACAUAAGAUUAUUGUUUAGGCCAUACCAUGAUAUAUUAGAAUAGGUACCCCUUAGUUUCAAAAUACUUACAGUAUAAAUGAUUUGUAAUGUUACAGGUUGUUAACCCGUUAUUCCCCAAACGUUGCAUAUUAUUCCCCUAUACCUACACUAUAAUUACAAAAACGUUACGCAGCAACUUCAGUUUACUUAUGCAGUUCUUUGCAGGUUGCAUAUCUGGUUGUUACCCCCUUAUUACCCAAACGUAACAUAUUGUUCCCUUAUACCUACACGUAUGUUCUUUAUAGGUACACUAUAAUUGCAGAAACGUACACUGUAAAUUCAGUAUACUUGCGUAGUUCUUUGCGGGUUGUAAUCUAAAGCGUUACCGACAAAUUUCCUCUUCAGGAUAAUACAAUUUAUUUUCAAUGCCUGACAUUUUAAUACAUUUAAUGCGUUCAAUAUUAUGAACUUAACAAAUAAAGCUCUAUUCUUUGAGAGUGCUUACAGUCUAAACAUUUAUCAAUGAGAACAAUGCCCAAGUUCAUAUUGUCAAUUUGUUUUAUUGUUUCUUUCACUUUCUUUUUUCCAUUCAUUUUUUUUUUUCACAAGAUCUUUAUUCAUUCAGUUCAGUUUCCAGGUAUUCAAUUAAAUAACAUGAAAAUGUUGGUUUGAAGACUUCACAAUUCUAUUUAAUGAUAUCUACUCAGCUGCACGGAAGAAUUAAAUAUUGUAGCACCGUAGAGAGAUAAUCUACUCAAAAACAGAGCAUGUGAACACAAGUUUCUUACAAAAAAAAAAAAAAAAAAAAAUUAAA